Molecule: long non-coding RNA, 441 nt
Organism: Bos taurus (domestic cattle)
Lineage: Eukaryota; Metazoa; Chordata; Mammalia; Artiodactyla; Bovidae
Source: Ensembl
CUUUCUAGUCGCUCUCACUCUCCAUCUGCUUCUUAACCCUGGUGCCCUGGCCGUUUUCUCAACGUGAGGGCCGCUGCUGAAGCCCUGAGCUGCACCCAGUUAGUAAGGAAAGUGAAAAGUGAAAGUGAAGUCGCUCAGUCAUGUCCGACCCUCAGCGACCCCAUGGACUGCAGCCCACCAGGCUCCUCCGUCCAUGGGAUUUUCCAGUGGCUGGAAUAUGGACCCAGAAAGUGUGGUGUUGAGUUUUCUUCAAUCUCAUAGACAAGGGCAUCAAGAUAAAGGUGAUUUGCAUCCCCGACUAAAGCAGAGCCACCCUGUCCACCAUGAAUGCUUAAACACCUGCUGAAGCUGAAGAGAGAACUCCUGUGUUUAAGCACCUGUUACUGUGGGUCUUUGUUAAAGAACUGCAUCCUAGCUAGUACAGACAUUCAUUUCAACAUU